Molecule: ribosomal RNA, 621 nt
Filed under: uncultured marine eukaryote
Lineage: Eukaryota
Description: SSU rRNA
Rfam family: Eukaryotic small subunit ribosomal RNA
Source: RNAcentral
UGGUUAAAAAGCUCGUAGUUGGAUCUCGGCGGACUGAGGGCGGUUUGCUUGCUAGUAUUACUGCCCUAUAGUCCGUAGUUUUGCCAGAGGUUUCGGGGUGCUCUUAAUCGAGUGUCCCGGGAUGCUGGCAGGUUUACUUUGAAAAAAUUAGAGUGCUCAAAGCAGACUAUUACGCCUGAAUAUUCGUGCAUGGAAUAAUAGAAUAGGAAGUCGUUUCUAUUUUGUUGGUUUUCGGAAUCGACUUAAUGAUUAAUAGGGACAGUCGGGGGCAUUUGUAUUCAAACGACAGAGGUGAAAUUCUUGGACCGUUUGAAGACAAACUACUGCGAAAGCAUUUGCCAAGAAUGUUUUCAUUAAUCAAGAACGAAAGUUAAAGGUUCGAAGGCGAUUAGAUACCGCCCUAGUUUUAACCAUAAACGAUGCCAGCUAGCGAUCUGCGGACGUUUUUUUUGUAGACUCCGCAGGAAGCUUCCGGGAAUUCCAUUAGCAUUUGGGUUCCAGUGGGAAAGUAUGGUUGCAAAGCUGAGACUUAAAGGAAUUGACGGAAGGGCACCCACUCAGGAGUGGAGCCUGUGGCUUAAUUUGACUCCACACGGGAAAUCUCACCAUGCCCGGACACUG